CUACGGGAGGCUGCAGUCGAGAAUCUUUGGCAAUGGACGAAAGUCUGACCAAGCGACGCCGCGUGCGGGAUGAAGGCCUUCGGGUUGUAAACCGCUGUCAGUUGGGAGGAAAUCACAUGGGGUCCUCUCCAUGUGUUGACCUAUCUUCAGAGGAAGGACGGGCUAAGUUCGUGCCAGCAGCCGCGGUAAGACGAACCGUCCAAACGUUAUUCGGAAUCACUGGGCUUAAAGGGUGCGUAGGCGGCCCUGUAAGUUGGGUGUGAAAUCCCUCGGCGCAACCGAGGAAUUGCGCCCAAUACUGCAGGGGUAGAGGGAGACAGAGGUGAGCGGAACUUGUGGUGGAGCGGUGAAAUGCGUUGAUAUCACAAGGAACACUUGUGGCGAAAGCGGCUCACUGGGUCUCUUCUGACGCUGAGGCACGAAAGCUGGGGGAGCGAACGGGAUUAGAUACCCUGGUAGUC
Molecule: ribosomal RNA, 461 nt
Filed under: uncultured bacterium
Lineage: Bacteria
Description: partial 16S ribosomal RNA
Rfam family: Bacterial small subunit ribosomal RNA
Source: RNAcentral